This is a non-coding RNA of Chanos chanos (milkfish), 72 nucleotides long. NCBI's taxonomy places the organism in Eukaryota, Metazoa, Chordata, Actinopteri, Gonorynchiformes, Chanidae. The record is from the annotation of a RefSeq genome assembly.
GCCCUAGUAGCUUAAAGAUAAAGCGCUGGUCUUGUAAUCCAGAAAUUGGAGGAUAAAGCCCUCCCUAGUGCC